This 639-nucleotide ribosomal RNA is filed under the name Lysobacter capsici. RNAcentral's name for it is "bacterial SSU rRNA". It matches the Rfam family "Bacterial small subunit ribosomal RNA", at positions 56 to 684 of the family's 1533-position model. The record is from RNAcentral. Lineage: Bacteria; Pseudomonadati; Pseudomonadota; Gammaproteobacteria; Lysobacterales; Lysobacteraceae.
UGCAAGUCGAACGGCAGCACAGAGGAGCUUGCUCCUUGGGUGGCGAGUGGCGGACGGGUGAGGAAUACGUCGGAAUCUGCCUAUUUGUGGGGGAUAACGUAGGGAAACUUACGCUAAUACCGCAUACGACCUACGGGUGAAAGCGGAGGACCUUCGGGCUUCGCGCAGAUAGAUGAGCCGACGUCGGAUUAGCUAGUUGGCGGGGUAAAGGCCCACCAAGGCGACGAUCCGUAGCUGGUCUGAGAGGAUGAUCAGCCACACUGGAACUGAGACACGGUCCAGACUCCUACGGGAGGCAGCAGUGGGGAAUAUUGGACAAUGGGCGCAAGCCUGAUCCAGCCAUGCCGCGUGUGUGAAGAAGGCCUUCGGGUUGUAAAGCACUUUUGUCCGGAAAGAAAAGUUCCCGGUUAAUACCCGGGGGUCAUGACGGUACCGGAAGAAUAAGCACCGGCUAACUUCGUGCCAGCAGCCGCGGUAAUACGAAGGGUGCAAGCGUUACUCGGAAUUACUGGGCGUAAAGCGUGCGUAGGUGGUUUGUUAAGUCUGAUGUGAAAGCCCUGGGCUCAACCUGGGAAUGGCAUUGGAAACUGGCUGACUAGAGUGCGGUAGAGGGGUGUGGAAUUCCCGGUGUAGCGGUGA